AGCUAAUGGUCUGUGUAAAAACUGUACUUGAAACAAAGGAAUACACUUUACAAAUUCUGUAAAGAGUGACAAGGCAGUUCUGGAAUCUAAAAAGACAUGUAAAGCACAAAGCAAAGAAGAAAGGAAUGAAAUCUAAGAAGCUAUCAAGGAAGGAAUACAGUCAACACUUCAGUUUACUCAAGCUAAGUAGACCACAGAAGAUAAGCUGUAGUGACCAAGGACUGCUGAAAAAUGUGAACAAGACAGUGCCAUUUGCUGUACUUCACAGUACAUAAAAAAUAUGACAACCAUCUGUCACAUGCAACGAAACAUCCAGUUCAGCAUAUCCACUGCACUACCAAGUACUCCAUACACAAGCUCAUACAUCGUUUACUUUUGGGAGCAUGCAGCAGCACAGCAAGUGCACUGGAGAAGAAGCUACAGAUCACAGAAUGGAUCAACUUGUGUCUUACAAGAGUUGAGCAGAGCACAGCGGUUGCCUUCACAGUAUUCAGCAGAAAUUUUCCCUAGAAUUAAUUCCUCCUGGUGCAGAAGUUCAUCCACAUCUCCAUUUUGCAGUGAUCAGUUACAUGAUAUCCCAUGGACCUCUCUUUCGUGCUGCUAA
This 604-nucleotide long non-coding RNA is filed under the name Anser brachyrhynchus (Pink-footed goose). RNAcentral describes it as "lncRNA (ENSABRG00000010243.1)". The record is from RNAcentral. Lineage: Eukaryota; Metazoa; Chordata; Aves; Anseriformes; Anatidae.